ACAUAUAGUAAAGUUUUUCGUGCGCUGACAUAGAUCCUACAAAGGGUGUUGGUCGAUUAUGACAGUACAACAGUGGUUAUGGAAGUUGAAAUCCGUUAAGGAGUGCAUAACAACUCACCAGUCGAAUCAACUAGCCCCGAAAAUAGAUGGCGCUUAAGCGACCGACCUACACCCGACCGUCAGGGCAAGUGCCAAUGCCCCGAUG
This 205-nucleotide non-coding RNA is filed under the name Nicotiana sylvestris (wood tobacco). RNAcentral's name for it is "Eukaryotic large subunit ribosomal RNA". It matches the Rfam family "Eukaryotic large subunit ribosomal RNA", at positions 1178 to 1379 of the family's 3401-position model. Lineage: Eukaryota; Viridiplantae; Streptophyta; Magnoliopsida; Solanales; Solanaceae. RNAcentral also lists the same sequence under 1 other name. The record is from Rfam by way of RNAcentral.